This 72-nucleotide transfer RNA is filed under the name Camelus bactrianus (Bactrian camel). It matches the Rfam family "tRNA". From Rfam's summary of the family: Transfer RNA (tRNA) molecules are approximately 80 nucleotides in length. Lineage: Eukaryota; Metazoa; Chordata; Mammalia; Artiodactyla; Camelidae. RNAcentral also lists the same sequence under 2 other names. The record is from Rfam by way of RNAcentral.
GAGGGUGUAGCUCAGAGAUAGAGCAUGUGCUUAGCAUGCACAAGGUCCUGGAUUCAAUCCCCAGUACCUCCA